GCAUCAAUGGUUCAGUGGUAGAGUGCUCGCCUCCUACGCGGGCGGCCCGGGUUCGAUUCCCGGUCGAUGCA
Daphnia pulex (common water flea) is the source of this 71-nucleotide non-coding RNA. Lineage: Eukaryota; Metazoa; Arthropoda; Branchiopoda; Diplostraca; Daphniidae. The record is from Rfam.